UUUGUGUGGGAUGUUGGCUGGCUCGAUGCACACCACAGUUUUAUUCAUUCUUUCUUUCUCUACCUAAACUGUGAUUUGUAUCGGACCAGGCUUCAUUCCUCUCAAA
This 106-nucleotide microRNA precursor is filed under the name Erythranthe guttata (spotted monkey flower). Its description in RNAcentral is "Mimulus guttatus (spotted monkey flower) mir-166 microRNA precursor family". It matches the Rfam family "mir-166 microRNA precursor family". Rfam says of the family: This family represents the plant microRNA (miRNA) precursor mir-166. Animal miRNAs are transcribed as ~70nt precursors and subsequently processed by the Dicer enzyme to give a ~22nt product. Lineage: Eukaryota; Viridiplantae; Streptophyta; Magnoliopsida; Lamiales; Phrymaceae. The record is from Rfam by way of RNAcentral.